GACGGAAGGUGCAAGCGUUGCUCGGAAUCACUGGGCGUAAAGUGUGCGCAGGCGGCCGAGCAAGUCGAGUGUGAAAGCCCCGAGCUUAACUUGGGAACUGCGCUCGAAACUACUUGGCUAGAGUGUGGCAGAGGGAGGUGGAAUUCCACGUGUAGCGGUGAAAUGCGUAGAGAUGUGGAGGAACACCGAUGGCGAAGGCAGCCUCCUGGGCCAACACUGACGCUCAUGCACGAAAGCGUGGGGAGCAAACAGG
RNAcentral lists this ribosomal RNA (253 nucleotides) under uncultured bacterium. RNAcentral describes it as "partial 16S ribosomal RNA". It matches the Rfam family "Bacterial small subunit ribosomal RNA", at positions 524 to 776 of the family's 1533-position model. The record is from RNAcentral.